AAAAAUCAAAAAGGGUGGCUGGAGCACCGUGAGAACCGUAAACUUUCGUGGCCUCAAACCGCUAGAUAAAGAGGUUAAUCAAGGUGGUUCUUGGAUGGAUUUUGUAGAGGGGAAUGAGAGCUUCAAGAUGGCAGUGGUGGCGUCGAAAAAUUCCACCGUAGUUGGCCGGAAUCGACCUUGGAAGUUGGGUGGUCGGGGUGGUGGCGUGCACAGGAAAGCUGGGAGCUUUCUCCCUUUUUUUUUUUUUCUUUUCUGAUUUCUGAUUGGGCUGCUGCCCUUUUUCUACCUUUUAUCUAAUUGGUCCUCCUUAACCAAUUAACUAACUUUAAAUAACCAACUUCAAAAGUUUGUAACUAUACCGUUAUAAUCCGGACUUGCAAACAGCUUUCGCCUAUGUACUCGUACCAACGAGUACUACUUAAAUAUGCCAAAAGAAUAAGUCAUACAUUCCUCUAAAUGAUGGUUAAUAGAAAUCAAAAUCCUUGCCUCUAGGCAUUUUCCUCAAUUCUCUCGAUUAAAAUAAUAAAAAAAAAAUAUUUUAUGGACGGGUUGUCACAUCAACCGUUUUUUUUUUUUUUUUUUUUUUUUUGCUUUCAUUUACACUACCAAUUCAAUUUUUCAAAAUUGGAUUUUAAUUUUAUUUUUAUAAAAUAUGAGUACAUUUAUAUAAUAAAAUUUGGCUACAUUUAUUACAUAAAUAAUUGGUACAUUUAUAUAAAAAUGUGGGUACAUUUUACAUACAAAAAAAUGUAUACAUUUUAUACAAAAAAAAGGGGCAUGUAUUAUAUAACAAAAAAUGGGUACAUUUUAUAUUAAAAAAACAAUGGGUACAUUAUAUAUAUAUAAACAAUGGUACAUUUUAGAUUAAAAAAAAAAAAAGAGUGUCACUAGACCCACCACAGUGUCUUAUUUUCCCACCCACAUGAUAAUCACACACACCAUAAAAAGUUAAAAAAAGUUAAAUGUUAUUUUCAUACCCACCAUUAUUCCCAAUAUAGCCCUAAUAUAUUUCGUUUUAAAUAACUCUAAAAUAUCUUUAAAUGAAUGGAAAAAUUAAAGAAAAUGGAAGACCUAGACAUUCAUUGAUGUGAAAUAAUCUAACACUCAAAUUGAAACCCUAUGGUUGUAGUAUGUGUAAGUAGGGAUCGUUUUAGGCCGGAAAUUAAAAGGGAUGCUAAUCUACUCAAUUUAAACUUUAAAACACUAAACUAGACUAAAAAACACUUAACUAAACUCUAAAUACUUAAAACUGACUUAAAACACUCAAAACAGCAAAACUAAGUUGAAAAGACUCAAAACUGACUCUAGGGAGUUAUUUGAACGAAUUUAAGACUAUUAAGACUCAAAACACUAAAUUGGAUAGAUUGAAACACUUUUCUAACUAAUCUAACACACUUAAUUAAAGGGGGGAUUGAUUUGGACAAAAUUAAUUAAAUUGAACAGAUUGCAAAACUAAAUCAAAUUAAGCACGAAAUCAGGUGAAUUGAAUGGUGAAAUAGGCUAGUGAUAGGAGCAUAUUUAUGCAACUUAGUUGGCUUGUUCUUGUGCAUUUAUGUUGUGUUUCCUUAGUUAUUUUAAUGUUUAAAGUCAUUUUCAUGUGUUUUCAGAUUUUAAGGACAAAGUAGGCAAGAAGAUGCAUUUUGGAGCAUUUUGAAGCAAAAUGGAGCUUGGAAUGCAUGUCACAUAUUUGGAACCAAGGUUUGGACGAAAUUGAAGACUUAAAGAAGCUAAGAAUGUGAAGAAUUAGUGUACAAAG
RNAcentral lists this long non-coding RNA (1756 nucleotides) under Malus domestica (apple). Its description in RNAcentral is "long non-coding RNA (MDOM_LNC020801)". The record is from RNAcentral. Lineage: Eukaryota; Viridiplantae; Streptophyta; Magnoliopsida; Rosales; Rosaceae.